CGCCCUUAGAGUUUGAUCAUGGCUCAGGACGAACGCUGGCGGUGUGCCUAAUACAUGCAAGUUGAGCGUUGGUACUUGUACCAAGAGCAGCGAACGGGUGAGUAACGCGUGGGGAAUCUGCCUUUGAGCGGGGGACAACAUUUGGAAACGAAUGCUAAUACCGCAUAAAAACUUAACACAAGUUUAAGUUGAAAGAUGAUUGCAUCACUCAAAGAUGAUCCCGCGUUGUAUUAGCUAGUUGGUGAGGUAAAGGCUCACCAAGGCGAUGAUACAUAGCCGACCUGAGAGGGUGAUCGGCCACAUUGGGACUGAGACACGGCCCAAACUCCUACGGGAGGCAGCAGUAGGGAAUCUUCGGCAAUGGACGAAAGUCUGACCGAGCAACGCCGCGUGAGUGAAGAAGGUUUUCGGAUCGUAAAACUCUGUUGGUAGAGAAGAACGUUGGUGAGGAAACUCAUCAAGUGACGGUAACUACCCAGAAAGGGACGGCUAACUACGUGCCAGCAGCCGCGGUAAUACGUAGGUCCCGAGCGUUGUCCGGAUUUAUUGGGCGUAAAGCGAGCGCAGUGGUUUAUUAAGUCUGGUGUAAAAGGCAGUGGCUCAACCAUUGUAUGCAUUGGAAACUGGUAGACUUGAGUGCAGGAGAGGAGAGUGGGAUUUCAUGUGUAGCGGUGAAAUGCGUAGAUAUAUGGAGGAACACCGGUGGCGAAAGCGGCUCUCUGGCUGUAACUGACACUGAAGCUCG
This 745-nucleotide ribosomal RNA is filed under the name uncultured Lactococcus sp. Its description in RNAcentral is "bacterial SSU rRNA". It matches the Rfam family "Bacterial small subunit ribosomal RNA", at positions 1 to 755 of the family's 1533-position model. The record is from RNAcentral. Lineage: Bacteria; Bacillati; Bacillota; Bacilli; Lactobacillales; Streptococcaceae.